UUUGAUCAUGGCUCAGAUUGAACGCUGGCGGCAGGCCUAACACAUGCAAGUCGAGCGAACCUAGCUUGCUAGGUGAGCGGCGAACGGGUGAGUAACGCGUAGGAAUCUGCCCAAUAGUGGGGGACAACGUUCCGAAAGGGACGCUAAUACCGCAUACGCCCUACGGGGGAAAGCAGGGGAUCUUCGGACCUUGCGCUAUUGGAUGAGCCUGCGUCGGAUUAGCUAGUUGGCGGGGUAAAGGCCCACCAAGGCGACGAUCCGUAGCUGGUCUGAGAGGAUGAUCAGCCACACCGGAACUGAGACACGGUCCGGACUCCUACGGGAGGCAGCAGUGGGGAAUAUUGGACAAUGGGGGCAACCCUGAUCCAGCCAUGCCGCGUGUGUGAAGAAGGCCUUCGGGUUGUAAAGCACUUUAAGGGGGGAGGAAGGUUUGCUGGCUAAUACCCAGCAGAAUUGACGUUACCCCCAGAAUAAGCACCGGCUAACUCCGUGCCAGCAGCCGCGGUAAUACGGAGGGUGCAAGCGUUAAUCGGAAUUACUGGGCGUAAAGCGCGCGUAGGCGGCUUGAUAAGUCGAUUGUGAAAUCCCCGGGCUCAACCUGGGAAUUGCAGUCGAUACUGCCAAGCUAGAGUGUGGGAGAGGGUGGUGGAAUUCCCGGUGUAGCGGUGAAAUGCGUAGAUAUCGGGAGGAACAUCAGUGGCGAAGGCGACCGCCUGGCCCAACACUGACGCUGAGGUGCGAAAGCGUGGGUAGCAAACAGGAUUAGAUACCCUGGUAGUCCACGCCGUAAACGAUGUCAACUAGCCGUUGGAGACCUUAGAGUCUUUAGUGGCGCAGCUAACGCACUAAGUUGACCGCCUGGGGAGUACGGCCGCAAGGUUAAAACUCAAAUGAAUUGACGGGGGCCCGCACAAGCGGUGGAGCAUGUGGUUUAAUUUCGAUGCACGCGAAGAACCUUACCGCCCCCUUUGACAUCCUGGG
RNAcentral lists this ribosomal RNA (981 nucleotides) under uncultured bacterium. RNAcentral describes it as "bacterial SSU rRNA". It matches the Rfam family "Bacterial small subunit ribosomal RNA", at positions 12 to 993 of the family's 1533-position model. The record is from RNAcentral.